This 379-nucleotide ribosomal RNA is filed under the name uncultured bacterium. RNAcentral describes it as "partial 16S ribosomal RNA". It matches the Rfam family "Bacterial small subunit ribosomal RNA", at positions 338 to 734 of the family's 1533-position model. The record is from RNAcentral.
CCUACGGGUGGCAGCAGUGAGGAAUAUUGGGCAAUGGCCGCAAGCCUGACCCAGCCAUGCCGCGUGAAUGAAGAAGGUCUUCGGGUUUUAAAGCUCUUUCGGUCGGGACGAUGAUGGCUCUAGCGUCUAAAGAUGCACCGGCAAACUUCGUGCCGGCAGGGGCGGUACUACGGCGGGUGCGAGCGUUGCUCGGAAUUACUGGGCGUAAGGGGGGUGUAGGGGGAUAGUUAAGGCAGCGGUGAAAUGCCGGGGCUCAACCCCGGAACUGCCAUUAUGACUGUCUAUCUGGAGUACUGGAGAGGAGAGCGGAAUACGUAGUGUAGAGGUGAAAUUCGUAGAUAUUGCGAAGAACACCGGUUGCGAAGGCGGCUAUCUGGCC